Molecule: ribosomal RNA, 253 nt
Filed under: uncultured bacterium
Lineage: Bacteria
Description: partial 16S ribosomal RNA
Rfam family: Bacterial small subunit ribosomal RNA
Source: RNAcentral
UACAGAGGGUGCGAGCGUUGUUCGGAAUUAUUGGGCGUAAAGGGCGCGUAGGCGGUGCGGUAAGUCACCUGUGAAAUCUCCUGGCUCAACUGGGAGCUUGCAGGCGAAACUGCCGUGCUGGAGUGUGGGAGAGGUGCGUGGAAUUCCUGGUGUAGCGGUGAAAUGCGCAGAUAUCAGGAGGAACACCGGUGGCGAAGGCGGCGACCUGGACGGACACUGACGCUGAGACGCGAAAGCGUGGGGAGCAAACAGG